GGCCGAGGCGAGGGGGAGGGAGGUGGCGUGCUGGGCCGGGAACGAUCUGGGCCGCGGGGAUGGAAGCUGGCCAGGGGAGAGGAAGAGGUUGGCGCGGGGCUGGGAGGAUGGGGUGGGCCUUCGACCAGAAUAGAGAGAGGGGCAGGUUUCCCUUUUUCCCUUUUUUUUCCUUUUGUUUUCUUUUAUUUCAAAGCCAUUUCAAAAACAAGUUUGAAAAUCAUUUUAAAAUCAGUUUGACUUACCUUUAAUUAAAUCCACACAAUACAAUGAAAAUAAUGCCCCAAUAUGAAUGCACAACAAGUUGCUAAAUUCUAUGAUAAGUUUUAUUUUAAUGAAAAAUAUUAUUUUUCCUAUAUUUUCAUGAGCACAAAAAUACAAAAUUAAAUCAUUUUUCACCUAUUUCAAAAGUUGUAAAAUUUUGGGUGUUACAAAUCUACCCCCCUUAAAAUGAAUCUCGUCCGCGAGAUUCGAAAGAGACACGGAUUCCAAAGGGAAACAAGAACAAGGUCUUGGUAUCUAUUUCAACUUCACGACUUGUAUUCCAAAGUAAAAACUUAUGUCUCGGGAUCACAACUUGUAAACAAAACAUCCAUAAAAUGUCUAUUAUUCAUAGCUGAUUAAAAUUCAUCUUGACUACCCACUUUUUGACUUAUACAACUCAAAGACAUGAUAACUUAGCAUGGGUAUGCCUCCUCAGGUAGGAGUGGACCACCUUGAUACUCAAUUCUUUUCCUUGAUGGUGCAGUUAAGAAAAUUUUUCACUGGGUAGCAUAGAUCACUGCCUUGUGUGCACAUAACCAUUCAUUGCCAAGAACCAAAGGAAUAUUGAGUGACUCUAGCACAAUGAGGUUUACAGUGAAGUUUUCCUUCUUUAUGACAAGAUUGAUUUUGAGCAAACCUGAUCUGCAUGUAUUUCUCCCAUUGGGGUUUGAACUAAUAAAGGCUUUCUCGUCGGACACUUCACCCAUUCGAUUAUCUUUACCAGGUUGGCGGAUAUGAAAGAAUGUGAAGCACUUCGGUCAAACAGAGCAAAAACUAGCACUGAGUCCACUUGAAUAUAGCCUCCCACCACUUUGGUGGCUCCUUGAAUGUUAUGCCUAUCCACAUUGUUCAGUCUUCCAUUUAUAUAAUUUCACUGUACUUUAUUUCCGAGAGCAGGCUUCUUACGAGCUUUCCUUUUACGCUUCCGUCGUUGUGGAUUUUGAUUUGAUUCAUUGUCAACUUGCUCUUCCAUAUUAUUAUUUUGAUAACACUCAGCUUUGUCAUACUCAUAGCAUCUUUCUUCAAAAUCAAGAUGAUCAUAUUCUUCCCACCUAUCCAUGAGAGGCGUCAUAUUAUGCUCCGAAUCCAUGGGACACUACGCUCCCUGUCAUCAAGUGACCAGCGUCAGUAACAUGGCAUGGGUAGAUGAUCAUAAUCAGAGAAUACCCAAGACGACAAUUAUCACUUCAAGAUAGUUUAAAUAUGCAUCAUCCAGUGAUAUCAAGGUACCACCCCCCUUAAAAUUAGAUUGAUUGGGGAGACAUUAGGGACUAGUCCUCAUAACCUUUUUAAAUGCUACACAUCAUAUAGUCUUUAAAAUUCGCUGUACCGAGUCUCUUGAUCCAACAUUAUCCAAUUCUUCUCCAUGUAACCCCUUUAUUUGGGCUACCCCCCUUAGUAAAAGUCAUCUAGGGGGCACAGGAAAGGUAGCUUGCAUGUUUUCCCGGCAGGUUAACUAACAUUGAGAACCUCUGGCAUCCCAAAGAACUUAUGUGUAAGGGGAGAACAAACAGGUAUCCUGAAUUUUUCUCAUGAUAUGAAAACACCAGCGUAGAAAAAUACAUAUAACUCUUAUUCUGUCAAUCCAACAGAGUUAUAGCUUAUACCGUUAGAAAACUUAUGAAAUUCUCUACCACUUUCAUGUAGAAGACCUCCUUAGAUUCUGUCUUUAAGCUUAGGUAAAACAACCAAACAUAAUCUCCUUCCUGAUAAUGUCUCAGCAAAGGUGCAGUAACUUCCAGAAGUUAUAUCCCAAGCUACUUAACUCAUCUGGAGAUGAUCCUUACGUUUUUGAAAAGCUUAGGAAAUCCUCUACAACUUUCGUAUACAACAUUUUCCCAGAUUCUGAAGUUAAUUUGGCUGAAAUUAGAAAAAUGCCUGAUCUGUCUAAAUUUUGAAACAGAACAGAAACAUCCAAUUGUAAAUAUCAUAUCUCAGGUUGUACUUAUCCAAAUAAGUUCCAGCUUAUACCGUUCAAAAGAAUAGAAAAUUGUCUACAACUUUUCUAUAGGCUACUUUUCCAAAUUCUAUAGUUAUAUAUGUCUAAAACAGUAAGCAACCAAAACUGGUACAGAUUCUUGACAGCGCAGCUGCAUCAAAUUGUGAUUUUCAUAACUCCAAUUCCAAAAUAGAUAUGGGGGUCAAUCUUGAGGUCAAAGAAAGAUCUUGGAAUCUAGUUGGUCCCAGAAAAAGUUGAUAAAUUUUUCACGAUCAGAACUUGAGAUAUACCUAUAUUAUUGCUAACUGCUCCAGAAGUCAGCAAGGGACAGAAACAGGAUAUAACCAAACACAACUACUUAUGUCAUUACUCCUUAUGCCUUAGUUCUAUAAACUAAAUGAAAUUGUGAAGAAUUCACAAAAUCAUUACACUCAUUACAAAGAUCCAAAUCAAAUAUAAACAUAAUAACAAGCAAUUAAGCAUUAAAGGUUCACAAGGCACACAAACUCAACCUUCGCUACUAGCGUUUUUAUUACACCAGGGGACACGGACACCUAUAUCUUAGACUUAGUGUGGUUACCUUCAUGAUGCAUCUGUUGCUUCUUUUGUGGACAAGAGCUUAUAUAAUGUCCUUCUUGUUGGCAGUGAUAACACCUUCUCUUAGCUGGAUCCUUUGUGAUGUUAUUUUCCACUGAAGUGUUGUUCGGUGUGUUAUCAACUUGCAUACUCUGAUGGUUUAUCUUUGCCUGGUUAGAUUUCUUUCUACAUUGCUUGAUCCUCCGAGGUUGAAAUUCUCUAUAAUUAAUUCUCCACCCAUCUAUGCAUACCUCAUGAGCAGUGGGGUUAGCUUGAGAAGUUUCUUUAUCACCAAGGUUUGAAUUUUCCCGAGAAGAAUUCGAAGCUACAUGUGACAUCUUAGGAUUUGGGUGUUGAUCACUUCCCAAUGUUGGAUCUAGUGCUUUUGCCUUCCUCUUCUUAUCCUCAUUAGUCACACAAGUUGGUUUUGUCUUAACUUCCUUUUUAUAUGACAUAUUCCGAAGACAAGGAAGACCAUAAUGCUCACAACAGUGGCAUUGAUCCUGAUAUCCUGAUGUAUUACUCCCAACGCUUCCAUGAUUUCUCAUAUUUUUCCAAGCUUCUGCUACUUGUCUCCUCACGGGUCCUGAGAUACGUUGUUGAGAGUUCUUAUUCUGAGUUAUUCCUUCCACUACUUGUGUUUGCAUGGCUAGAAGCUUCUCCAUGUCGAAUGCUUUUACGGUUGGCAAAUCUGGGUGCUUUUGUUCUUUCUUGUCAAAGGUCUCCUCGUUAUGAUCCAUCUAAAGAAACAAAGAGAGAGGAUUUAGAAUAGAGACAAGAUUUUAUAAAAGAACUGUGCAAGAGGUAAGCAUAAAUUUUAGCAACUAUCAAGGUCAAGGCGAAAGCAAGAGGUAAACAAAGAUAGAAGCAUGCUAAAACGUCCAGUUCUAACUAGGCUUGCGUCCUACAGUCAGCAUUGCUUUGAUACCACUUUGUAAUACCCGAUUUUAAGGACAAAACCAGAUAUGCACCAUAUGUGAGUUUUAGAAGGCAAAUCUCACCUAUAGCUACAAAUAAAGGGGUAAUAUCAAAAGACAAUGCAUAAAUAUAUAACAUACUUAAUAUAAAAGAGAUAACCUUUGAUAACAAACAGCGGAUAGACAACUCCAACUUCGGGUAUUUACUCCACUCUACAGGAUCCAACUGACUGGUUGAUCACAAGCCUAAACCAUCUCCUGAGGUGUGGGGGAAAUAGCAAGAGUGAGUCCAUGUCGAACUCAACAAGUAUAGCAACUAGAUUGUAUAGAUCCCACAAUCUCAUGAUCAAUGUGACAUAAAUAAUGUAAAGCAUUAAAUAAUAAAUAAUGGGAAUAUUUAACACACAAGAAUCAUCAUCGUCGAUGCAAGAAUCCCCAAGGCCGCUCCUGACCGUGAGCUCAGCUAGUAUACUAGUUUUUAACCCUCUACAGAGGUUGCACAUCUUUACCCAUGAGUCAUGAUUUACCCUUUCGCCCGAGGUAGCUAGUCUCUUAACCCCCUUCCAAGGGAGGUCGGCAGGGAUCACUAUGAAGUCUUUCAAAGGUUCGUCUAACAAGUUAGGGCCGCUUGGUUUCAUUAGUCAAUUCGUGUGAUUCACCCGCAGGAAUCCACGGUCUGCUAUUCCCCAAUUGCGCCACAACAGGUAACCGCUAACGAGCUAGAAAAGUUACUCAUACUUAAUUAAAGCCAGAGCCAUUACAGCCCUCAUGGUUGCACUGUUGUCCCGGUUAUCACUUACAGAUAAAUCAUCAAGUGGCUAAAAAGUCAUUUUUAUCAUUUGUUGCGUAAACAUUAAUCAAGUCACAAGAUCAUGGUCACAGAAAUAAAAUCCAAUUGCUAUACUUGCCUUGAUCAAAGCUCUCCUAAGCCUGCUAAUCUUGCUAGUUGUCCAAGGCUCUGAUCUUGAUCACUGAAGCACUCUUGAUCACCACGAAUUGCUCACCGUCUAAACUCCGAUCAUCAAUCACACAAACAAUCGAAGGAAAACAUACACGGAGCAAACAAAACUACAAUUAGAACAGUACACCAAUCAUAUAAAAACAGUAUGAAAAGUUUAUAAAAUGACUCUACGCAUCGCUACGAUUUCAUAGACGUAAAGGUCACGAAAAUCGGAGUUGAAACAGAGAAGUUAUGAUUUUUCUAAGAUUUCCUAUAGAUAAAUAAUUAAUUAAAUAGUACCAGGAAAUUAAAAGUUUCAAAACAGCAAACUAAUACUUCUAACAUGUAGAGCUUGUAAAUACGAAUCUAACGAAAUUUGAAUGGGUCAAUUCGAAGUUAAAAUGGGCAUAUUAUAAGCAAUUUAAAUCUAAUGGCAAAAUUGUAAAUACUGGAAAGCGUAUUUUCUCCUACGCCGAUCGAGAAUACGUUUUCUGAAUUGAAAAGCGCAAACCGGAUAACACGCCAAGGGACGACGGGUUUUAUUAUCAAAAAGGGGAGGGACUCUUUAGCAAAUGUUACUCCGAAAGGGUAACUUCUAUUCUGGGCCACCGGAUCACGAUCGGACGGGCCAGAAACACCCAUGGGCUUUCGGCCGGCCGGUUAGCCAGAACAGGAGCUAGGCGGCGGCGCCAUUGUUGGGGCUCUCCGGAGCUCGUCGAUCCAAUGAUUUUGUGCACUAAACUGAGAAAUAAAACCAUUGAGAUGUGGAGGAGCUUACUACGAAACCGCCUAGGGACUUCACUUGGGCCGAGAGGGAGCAGGGAGCAUGCGCGACGGAGGCCGCUCGAUGCGAAGCUCGGCGAGAUCCGAAAGCGUCGAUGCUAGAGGCUAGGGCUUGGUUUUGUGACAUAGAUGGGAAACCGAGACGCGGGGAAAGGUUCCUAUUAUUUCAUACUCGCAGCAAAUCCCGCGAGAACCGGGCUCGAGCUCCACUCGGUGGCGGAGUCCGGAACGAGAACGCCUGGAGAAGAAAGGAAAGGAGGGAGGGAGACGCUGACAGGUAGCCCCAGAGUGCCAGAGAGAAAGAGAGAGAGGAGGAUGCGGGCUGGCUGGGCCACGGCUCCUAGCCGGUUGCGCAUGCGGGCCGAGGCGAGGGGGAGGGAGGUGGCGUGCUGGGCCGGGAACGAUCUGGGCCGUGGGGAAGGAAGCUGGCUAGGGGAGAGGAAGAGGUUGGCGCGGGGCUGGGAGGAUGGGGUGGGCCUUCGGCCAGAAUAGAGAGAGGGGCAGGUUUCCCUUUUUUUCUUUUUGUUUUCUUUUAUUUCAAAGCCAUUUCAAAAACAAGUUUGAAAAUCAUUUUAAAAUCAGUUUGACUUACCUUUAAUUAAAUCCACACAAUACAAUGAAAAUAAUGCCCCAAUAUGAAUGCACAACAAGUUGCUAAAUUCUAUGAUAUGUUUUAUUUUAAUGAAAAAUAUUAUUUUUCCUAUAUUUUCAUGAGCACAAAAAUACAAAAUUAAAUCAUUUUUCACCUAUUUCAAAAGUUGUAAAAUUUUGGGUGUUACACAAUUAUACUUGACAAUCAUUGCGAGACAGGACUACACCCAUGCAUAGUGAUAUUAUCAAGGAAUAUG
Molecule: long non-coding RNA, 6264 nt
Filed under: Sorghum bicolor (sorghum)
Lineage: Eukaryota; Viridiplantae; Streptophyta; Magnoliopsida; Poales; Poaceae
Description: long non-coding RNA (SBIC_LNC004416)
Source: RNAcentral